CUCAUGUUAGGCAACAUAGAAUAACAUUCUAAUUGAGUAAUACAGGCUUAGUCUAGCUUUUGUACAAGAGUGAAGUACAUAUGGUUAAUAUAGGCUAGCUGCGGGUUUAACCCCCGGUGCGCCUCUAGUUUCGUAUUUUAAUUAUAGUCAUGGAUCGGCAGCCAAAUAUUUUCAAGGAAGAAGAAAUAAAACCACAAUGGAACAGAAAGCGAUGAGGCAAUGUUAAUUUCUAUAGAUGCCUAACUCACUAUGCUAUAAAGCGUGUGUGUCACGUAAUAGGCUUGUAAAAGGGAAGCAAAAUUAGUGCACUGGCCUUGGCUACAUGCAAUUCUAGUCCCUUACUAUGCUAAUCUUAACGGCAAGAUUAAUAAAAAAUAACACAUAAAAUAGGCGAUUGCAAAAACUUCUCAUAGCCUAAAGAGUAGUCGGGUGAGUUACUCCUCAUAUAGUCAGAUAGUUUCCCCUCGGGGACAGUAGGCAUAGUAUCAGAUCAGUAUGCCAGUUUGUUGCAGGUGUCCCCAUUCACCCUAUACCAGAGGUCGGCAUAGGUCUGAGAACAGUCCGAGGCUUUCCGUGUGGAAGUUGUCUCCUGUGUUGAUGCUGUACGAUUCCGGCUCAAGCAGCCGCUUGAGCUGGCCUCCCGGCAUGUCUGCGUGCGUUGAGGCAUUGCUGGGGCUGGGCAGUCGUGUUUCCGGAGGUUUUCUCUGCUGGUUGUGGACGUUGGAAAGGGUGAGUGCUGGCGCCUGAGGUGCAAGCCAUUGCCACUCGCUGCUUUGCUCUCAGGCUUCGUCCCCUUCUGGAGGCCGCCCUGGGGGCUCGCUGUGGGUACUCACACAGUUGCCGUCGGGUAGCUGGUCGGACCCAUGCUGCUACCGCUUGGACCGCUUGUUUGAAGGGCCGGCCUUUAUAUCGGAGUUUUGACCAUAAGCUGGUGCAGAGUAGGUCAAAGAACUCCUGGGUGGAGUGGUAAGGGUGCCGCUUGUUCCAGGUUUCGUGAUCUUUUUCUCUUUCGCUGUGUGCCUUUCUAUGCUGAGUUGUGGCUGCAUCAGGCCACAUGUAGUGAAGCUCGGCUUGUCCGCCAUCUUGGGCACCGCCGCUUCCAUUCUGCUUGGAAGUUCAGCGGCUGCUAUGAUGUCUCGGCUUGUAGUUUUCCGUACUGGCGGGGACCGGGAUAACCCCC
This is a non-coding RNA of Pelobates cultripes (western spadefoot toad), 1180 nucleotides long. NCBI's taxonomy places the organism in Eukaryota, Metazoa, Chordata, Amphibia, Anura, Pelobatidae. The record is from the annotation of a GenBank genome assembly.